RNAcentral lists this ribosomal RNA (418 nucleotides) under uncultured eukaryote. Its description in RNAcentral is "SSU rRNA". It matches the Rfam family "Eukaryotic small subunit ribosomal RNA", at positions 592 to 1013 of the family's 1831-position model. The record is from RNAcentral.
CAAUAGCGUAUAUUAAAGUUGUUGCGGUUAAAAGCUCGUAGUUGGAUUUCUGUCGAGGGCGGCCGGUCCGCACUUUGUGCGUGUAUCUGGUUCGGUCUUGGCAUCCUCUUGGGGAACGUUACUGUGCUUGAUUGCAUGGGGCGGAAUUCAAGACUUUUACUUUGAGGAAAUUAGAGUGUUCACGGCAAGCUAUCGCUUUGAAUACAUUAGCAUGGAAUAAUAAUAUAGGGCGUAAGUUCUAUCUUGUUGGUUUCUAGAACAUACGCAAUGAUUAAUAGGGACAAUUGGGGGCAUUCGUAUUAACGCGUCAGAGGUGGAAUUCUUAGAUUGCGUUACGACGAACUACUGCGAAAAGCAUUUUGCCAAGGAUGUUUUCAUUGAUCAAGAACGAAAGUAUGGGGAUCGAAGACGAUCAGAU